Molecule: ribosomal RNA, 252 nt
Filed under: uncultured bacterium
Lineage: Bacteria
Description: partial 16S ribosomal RNA
Rfam family: Bacterial small subunit ribosomal RNA
Source: RNAcentral
GACAGAGGGUGCAAACGUUGCUCGGAAUCACUGGGCGUAAAGGGCGUGUAGGCGGGACGGUAAGUCGGGCGUGAAAUCCCUAGGCUCAACCUAGGAACUGCACUCGAAACUACCAUUCUUGAGUGUCGGAGAGGAAAGCGGAAUUCCUGGUGUAGAGGUGAAAUUCGUAGAUAUCAGGAGGAACACCAGUGGCGAAGGCGGCUUUCUGGACGAUAUUGACGCUGAGGAGCGAAAGCGUGGGGAGCGAACAGG